UGUGUCCCUGGGCCAAUCGAAAAAAAACGCAUUUUCUGCAGGUGCAGAUGCCGGUUAUGGCUAAAUGAAAGAAAAAAGGAAAAAAAGAAACAGAGUGAUUUUAAUCCCCCAUCAAGAGCAAGUCGAGUGAAGGGCGUCGGAUCUGCGUAAUGCGUGCAGCAGCGAGGCGUGGUCUGCCGUUCUGCAAUGUUAGGUGCGUUCUAGAGUAGGCGAACAUCACGCAAACACAUGGACUGCGUUGCCUACUAAGACCAGCGGUGCUUCCUAAGCGGCUGAAGCGAUGUGCUUUACAAACAAGCCCCAAAGACGCUGAUGAUGGCUACCAACUCGAACGGCGGUUGGAUCACAUUACACGAUUAGCUGCGAUUAUGGCCGAAUCAUCGCUUUCCUCUCGAUCGAAUCCAUCGCCUCGAUUGGCAGACAGUCAAUCGGCCCGGUUAACGAGAUCUACUUUUGGCCAGCCGGUGUGUGCGCGCCCAGCAGGGAUGAUUGUUUGAGCGAAGUAAAGACGCUUCAGAAGGAAUUUGUGACGCUAGAUUGGAUGUUUGAUUACAGUUUUCAUUUUGUAGACACAUUUAGCAAGAAGGUAUGAACUCAUAGAAUUAGACCAGAUGGUAUUGGUGAAAACAUACUACUGUAAAUUCUUUAAUUUCCGGUUUAAACUCCAGAUGGAUAUCCUUAGGUAAAAGCCUACAUUCCAAUGAAUCCUUGGAUUUCUGCGCCAAAAGCCAUAGGCUUCCCAAUCUUUGGAUCAUAAGUACCUUGCGGGAUUGACCUGAUUAUUAGGCUAAGAGACGAAGACUCUGUCCACAGCAAUUGAUCCUCGUGCACAACUCUGCGACUCUUUCAGAGGGCUAAUCCAUUGUCUAACCUACCUUCGAAGCACGAUUGGAGGUAACGUAUUCUACGCCAAUUGAAUGAACUGAUGAGUGUAGUGUUGUCUUUUUUGGUAUA
Anopheles arabiensis is the source of this 954-nucleotide long non-coding RNA. RefSeq lists it as uncharacterized. The transcript has 5 exons. Lineage: Eukaryota; Metazoa; Arthropoda; Insecta; Diptera; Culicidae. The record is from RefSeq and is a predicted model, not a curated record.